CCCUUCUGAACAUGUCAUCAUGUCAGCCUCUCUGUCAUUUUAAGAUGGAGCAGCGUCUGACUCCAAGUCUCUCCUCUGUUUCUUAACAUUUAAAAGUACACCUAUUUAUACCUUAGGUGUCUCCAUUUUAGGGUCACCGUAGUUCAUAUAUGAAAAAGUAACUUUUUUACUUUAUUCAUUUUAGGACCUCCCUUAACUUGGCAAACAU
Molecule: long non-coding RNA, 208 nt
Filed under: Pelobates cultripes (western spadefoot toad)
Lineage: Eukaryota; Metazoa; Chordata; Amphibia; Anura; Pelobatidae
Source: RNAcentral